AAACACAAAUUCAAUUUUAAAAGUUUAUUAUUGUCAUGACCACGGGGCCCAAUUAUUGGAAGUUCUAGAAAAUUCUUUAUCACUUGGAUUUUGCAGUGAAGGAAGCCUUAUCUUCUUCCCCAUCAGCUCUCAACCAUUUCCACAUUCACUCACUUUGCUAGCGGCGAGCUCAGGUCUUUUGCGGAGCAUGGCUACCACGUUUACCUCAGUGUGUUCGAUUGCUUCCACAAGCCAGUCAGUGGAUAAGAAAUUCAUCAAUUCUUCUGAAACUUUAUCUUCAUUCUCUGGGAUAUCUUUGACUUCAUUUGGGGGCAGGGGAAAGAAUAAAGCUUUAAAGAAGAGAUAUGAUUCCAAGAUCAAGUCUAUGGCCAAGGAGUUACACUUCAAUCAGGAUGGUUCUGCCAUUAAGAAGCUGCAAGCAGGUGUUAACAAGCUUGCAGAUCUAGUAGGUGUUACUCUUGGUCCAAAAGGAAGAAAUGUGGUUCUUGAGAGCAAAUAUGGCCCUCCGAAAAUUGUAAAUGAUGGUGUUACUGUUGCCAGAGAGGUUGAACUAGAAGACCCUGUUGAGAAUAUUGGUGCAAGUGUGGUGAGACAAGCUGCUUCAAAAACAAAUGACUUAGCUGGGGAUGGAACUACUACAUCUGUUGUUUUAGCACAGGGGAUCAUAGCUGAGGGUGUUAAGGUUGUUGCAGCUGGUGCGAACCCUAUUCAGAUUUCCAGGGGCAUCGAGAGGACGACCAAAGCCCUGGUUUCUGAGCUAAAGAAAAUUUCAAAAGAGGUCGAGGACAGUGAAUUAGCAGAUGUAGCUGCAGUUAGUGCAGGAAACAACUAUGAAGUAGGAAAUAUGAUAGCAGAAGCCUUGAGUAAAGUGGGUAGGAAAGGUGUAGUUACUCUUGAGGAAGGACGGGGUUCUGCGAACAACUUAUAUGUCGUGGAAGGCAUGCAAUUUGACCGUGGCUAUUUCUCCCCAUACUUUGUAACAGACAAUGAGAGGAUGGUAGCUGAAUACGAAAACUGCAAGCUGCUUCUGGUGGACAAGAAGAUAAAAAAUGCAAGGGAUUUAGUCAAUGUUUUGGAAGAAGCAAUCAAGAGUGGAAAUCCGAUAGUGGUUAUCGCUGAAGACAUAGAGCAGGAAGCUCUAGCCACACUGGUUGUGAACAAAUUAAGAGGAGCAUUGAAAAUUGCUGCUCUCAAAGCUCCUGGUUAUGGAGAUCGAAAAAGGCAAUAUCUUGAUGACAUUGCUGUUCUUACUGGAGGUACUGUCAUCCGAGAGGAAGUUGGUUUAUACCUGGAGAAGGCUGGAAGUGAGGUCUUAGGGAAUGCUGCCAAAGUGGUUUUAGCAAAGGAGUCAACAACAAUUGUUGGUGAUGGUAGUACACAGGAUGCAGUAAGCAAACAAAUUGGCCAAAUUAAAAGACUUCUUGAGUCAACUGAACAAGACUAUGAGAAGGAAAAACUGAGUGGGAGAAUUGCGAAACUCUCUGGGGGCGUUGCCGUAAUUCAGGUUGGUGCACAAACUGAAACAGAACUCAAAGAAAAGAAAUUGAGAGUAGAGGAUGCACUCAAUGCAACGAAGGCAGCUGUUGAAGAAGGCAUUGUAGUUGGUGGUGGAUGCACCUUAUUGCGGCUUGCUGCCAAAGUUGAAGACAUUAAAGGAACUCUUGAUAAUGAUGAACAAAAGAUUGGAGCCGAUAUUGUCAAGAGGGCUUUGCGCUACCCUAUGAAGUUAAUAGCCAAGAAUGCUGGUGUUAGUGGAAGUGUUGUAAUUGAAAAGGUGUUGUCCAAUGACAAUCCAAACUAUGGUUAUAAUGCCGCCACUGGAAAUUAUGAAGAUCUAAUGGCUGCUGGUAUAAUUGAUCCUACAAAGGUGGUAAGAUGCUGCUUGGAGCAUGCAGCUUCAGUUGCAAGGACCUUUCUGACAUCAGAUGCUGUGGUCACUGAGAUCAAGGUGCCUGAACCUGUAGUUGUUGGGAACCCAAUGGACAAUUCAGGUUAUGGACCCUAAACUGUUGAAGAAGGGAUUGAUUACAUGCCUGAGUACUGUUGCACAGAAGUCCAGCAGUAUGAUGGUAAAUUUCGAAUAAUUGGAAUAAAUUAGCAACAUAGAGGAAAAGUUAUCAAACACAGAGAUACAUAGAACUUUGGAUAAAAGGAUGUUCUGCCGUACGUGCUCUGGAUCUGGUCUGUUGUUCUCUGUCCUGAUUUCGACUGGCCUCUGUUCAAAUUCCAGCUUUUAUUUAUACUGUUUAGAGAUCAUGACAAAUCAUAGGUAGUACUGUUGCUACCUAUUCUGAUAAGGAACAAGUUCUUUUCUUUAUGAGUUCCCUUAGUUAAUUGAAUUGGCCAGUGUCCUCUUAUCUUUAUUGAGUUCGAUUAAAGACAAGGACUUUCUUGUUGAAAUGCCCCAUGUCCCGGAGUUAGCGGCUUUGAAGAUAGGGAAAGGGACAAGGAUAGCAAAAUACACACUCUUGAGUUUGUUUGUGUACACUAUCGAAAAUAAUUUAUAUUUA
Capsicum annuum is the source of this 2510-nucleotide RNA transcript. It is a transcript of the gene named ruBisCO large subunit-binding protein subunit beta, chloroplastic, with no coding region annotated. NCBI's taxonomy places the organism in Eukaryota, Viridiplantae, Streptophyta, Magnoliopsida, Solanales, Solanaceae. The record is from RefSeq and is a predicted model, not a curated record. The transcript is spliced from 16 exons.